UUGUGAUCAUAGCUCAGAUUGAACGCUGGCGGGAUGCUUUACACAUGCAAGUCGAACAGCAGCACAGACUUCGGUCUGGUGGCAGUGGCGAACAGGUGAGUAAUGUAUCGGAACGUGCCUAGUAGCGGGGAUAACUGCGGCGUAGCUAAUACCGCAUACGCCCUUCGGGGGAAAGCGGGGACCUUCGGGCCUCGCAUAAUGGAAGCGGCCGAUAUCCGGAUUAGCUAGUUGGUGGGGUAACGGCUCGCAAGGCGACGAUCGUAGCCUGGUUUGAGAGGACGACCAGCCACACUGGGACUGAGACACGGCCCAGACUCCUACAGGAGGCAGCGGUGGGAAUUUUGGACAAUGGGGAAACCCCACAGUCCAGCCAUCCCGCGUGUGCGAUGAAGGCCCUUCGGGUUGUAAAGCACUUUUGGCAGGAAAGAAACAGCACGGGAUAAUACCCCGUGCAACUGACGGUACCUGCAGAAUAAGCACCGGCUAACUACGUGCCGGCAGCCGCGGUAAUACAUGCAGUGCAAGCGUUAAUCCGGAAUUACUGGGCGUAAAGCGUGCGCAGGCAGUUUCGGAAAAGAAAGAUAUGAAAUCCCAGGCUUAACUUUGGAACUGCAUUUUUUUAACUACCGAGCUAGAGUGUGUCAGAGGGAGGUGGAAUUCACGAUGUAACGGUGAAAUGCGUAGAUAUGCGGAGGAACACCGAUGGCGAAGGCAACCUCCUGGGAUAACACUGACGCUCAUGCACGAAAGCGUGGGAGCAAACAGGAUUAGAUACCCUGGUAGUCCACGCCUAAACGAUGUCAACUAGCUGUUGGGGCACUUCAGACGCAGUAGUACAACUAACGCGUGAAGUUGACCGCCUGGGAGUACAGUUAAAGAUUAAAACUCAAAGGAAUUGACGGGGACCCGCACAAGCAGUGGAUGAUGUGGAUUAAUUCGAUGCAACGCGAAAAACCUUACCUACCCUUGACAUGUCUGGAAUCCCGAAGAGAUUUAGGAGUGCUCGCAAGAGAACCGGAACACAGGUGCUGCAUGGCUGUCGUCAGCUCGUGUCGUGAGAUGUUGGGUUAAGUCCGGCGAGCGCAACCCUUGUCAUUAGUUGCUACGAAAGGGCACUCUAAUGAGACUGCCGAUGACAAACCGGAGGAAGGUGAGGAUGACGUCAAGUCCUCAUGGCCCAUAUGGGUAGGGCUUCACACGUCAUACAAUGGUCGGGACAGAGGGUCGCCAACCCACGAGGGGAGCCAAUCCCCGAAACCCGAUCGUAGUCCGGAUCGCAGUCUACGCUCGACUGCGUGAAGUCCAGAUCCGCUGGCUUAAUCGCGGAUCAGCAUGUCGCGGUGAAUACGUUCCCGGGUCUUCAUACACACCGCCCGUCACACCAUGGAGAUGGUUUUACCAGAAGUAGUUAGCCUAACCGUAAGGAGGGCGAUUACCACGGUAGGAUUCAUGACUGGGGUGAAGUCAUCUUGGUGUAACUCUGUUACUACAAGUCUUUCCCAG
Molecule: ribosomal RNA, 1503 nt
Filed under: uncultured Bordetella sp.
Lineage: Bacteria; Pseudomonadati; Pseudomonadota; Betaproteobacteria; Burkholderiales; Alcaligenaceae
Description: partial 16S-23S ribosomal RNA intergenic spacer
Rfam family: Bacterial small subunit ribosomal RNA
Source: RNAcentral